Molecule: ribosomal RNA, 253 nt
Filed under: uncultured bacterium
Lineage: Bacteria
Description: partial 16S ribosomal RNA
Rfam family: Bacterial small subunit ribosomal RNA
Source: RNAcentral
UACGGAGGGAGCUAGCGUUGUUCGGAAUUACUGGGUGUAAAGGGUGCGCAGGCGGACUUAUAAGUCAGUGGUGAAAUCUCACAGCUUAACUGUGAAACUGCCUUUGAUACUGUAGGUCUUGAAUUAGGGAGAGAUUCGUGGAAUUCCGAGUGUAGCAGUGAAAUGUGUAGAUAUUCGGAAGAACACCAGAGGCGAAGGCAGCGAAUUGGCCCUAUAUUGACGCUCAGGCACGAAAGCAUGGGGAUCAAACAGG